This 747-nucleotide unclassified non-coding RNA is filed under the name Hevea brasiliensis (rubber tree). The record is from RNAcentral. Lineage: Eukaryota; Viridiplantae; Streptophyta; Magnoliopsida; Malpighiales; Euphorbiaceae.
UGCCACCAGAAAUUCAAUUGGCACGCCAUCCUAAUGAAAAUCAAAUACUACCUCUACCUCUACCACCUGAAGUUGCGGAUGAGGGUGGAGUCGUUAGGGAUGUGCCAGAGAUUAGGCUUGAGCGUGACACAGCUGGGGAAGUCUCCUUCAGAUUCCAUGAUUUUUCACUUCCAAACAACUGGGUAUGACCAUUUAUUCAUUAUGCUUCUUUGUCAGUUGAUCGUUGUACAUAGGAAAUUUCAGGAUCAUGCUAGCUUCAAUCGAAUGUCGUUCACGGAUAGCUUAAUUAAUCUAGAAAAUUAGGAAUAAGAUCCUAUAAUUAUUCAUACCGUUGAGUGCAAAACCAAUAGCUUGAGUCAGUCAUCUCCUUCUUAUGUGGGUAUGUAAAUGUCAAGCGACUUUUCUUGUACCUGUUGAUCUAAGAUAAAGAAACAUUUUUUUAAUAUUUCUUUUUUCUUUUUAAUAAAAUGUUUCUUUAUCUUAGAUCAACAGGUACAAGAAAAGUCGCUUGACAUUUACAUACCCACAUAAGAAGGAGAUGACUGACUCAAGCUAUUGGUUUUGCACUCAACGGUAUGAAUAAUUAUAGGAUCUUAUUCCUAAUUUUCUAGAUUAAUUAAGCUAUCCGUGAACGACAUUCGAUUGAAGCUAGCAUGAUCCUGAAAUUUCCUAUGUACAACGAUCAACUGACAAAGAAGCAUAAUGAAUAAAUGGUCAUACCCAGUUGUUUGGAAGUGAAAAAUCAUG